This 241-nucleotide ribosomal RNA is filed under the name uncultured bacterium. RNAcentral describes it as "partial 16S ribosomal RNA". It matches the Rfam family "Bacterial small subunit ribosomal RNA", at positions 15 to 236 of the family's 1533-position model. The record is from RNAcentral.
GAUCCUGGCUCAGGAUGAACGCUGGCGGCGUGCUUAACACAUGCAAGUCGAGCGAAGCACUUAAGUUUGAUUCUUCGGAUGAAGACUUUUGUGACUGAGCGGGCGGACGGGUGAGGUAACGCGUGGGUAACCUGCCUCAUACAGGGGGAUAACAGCUAGAAAUGACUGCUAAUACCGCAUAAGACCACGGUACCGCAUGGUACAGUGGUAAAAACUCCGGUGGUAUGAGAUGGACCCGCGU